RNAcentral lists this ribosomal RNA (497 nucleotides) under uncultured bacterium. Its description in RNAcentral is "partial 16S ribosomal RNA". It matches the Rfam family "Bacterial small subunit ribosomal RNA", at positions 28 to 507 of the family's 1533-position model. The record is from RNAcentral.
GAUGAACGCUGGCGGCGUGCCUAAUACAUGCAAGUCGAGCGAACGGACGAGAAGCUUGCUUCUCUGAUGUUAGCGGCGGACGGGUGAGUAACACGUGGAUAACCUACCUAUAAGACUGGGAUAACUUCGGGAAACCGGAGCUAAUACCGGAUAAUAUUUUGAACCGCAGGGUUCAAAAGUGAAAGACGGUCGUGCGGUCACUUAUAGAUGGAUCCGCGCUGCAUUAGCUAGUUGGUAAGGUAACGGCUUACCAAGGCAACGAUGCAUAGCCGACCUGAGAGGGUGAUCGGCCACCCUGGAACUGAGACACGGUCCAGGCUCCUACGGGAGGCAGCAGUAGGGAAUCUUCCGCAAUGGGCGAAAGCCUGACGGAGCGACGCCGCGUGAGUGAUGACGGUCUUCGGAUCGUAAAACUCUGUUAUUAGGGAAGAACAUAUGUGUAAGUAACUGUGCACAUCUUGACGGUACCUAAUCAGAAAGCCACGGCUAACUACGUG